This 1347-nucleotide ribosomal RNA is filed under the name Streptococcus thermophilus. Its description in RNAcentral is "bacterial SSU rRNA". It matches the Rfam family "Bacterial small subunit ribosomal RNA", at positions 72 to 1406 of the family's 1533-position model. The record is from RNAcentral. Lineage: Bacteria; Bacillati; Bacillota; Bacilli; Lactobacillales; Streptococcaceae.
AGAGGAGCUUGCUCUUCUUGGAUGAGUUGCGAACGGGUGAGUAACGCGUAGGUAACCUGCCUUGUAGCGGGGGAUAACUAUUGGAAACGAUAGCUAAUACCGCAUAACAAUGGAUGACACAUGUCAUUUAUUUGAAAGGGGCAAUUGCUCCACUACAAGAUGGACCUGCGUUGUAUUAGCUAGUAGGUGAGGUAAUGGCUCACCUAGGCGACGAUACAUAGCCGACCUGAGAGGGUGAUCGGCCACACUGGGACUGAGACACGGCCCAGACUCCUACGGGAGGCAGCAGUAGGGAAUCUUCGGCAAUGGGGGCAACCCUGACCGAGCAACGCCGCGUGAGUGAAGAAGGUUUUCGGAUCGUAAAGCUCUGUUGUAAGUCAAGAACGGGUGUGAGAGUGGAAAGUUCACACUGUGACGGUAGCUUACCAGAAAGGGACGGCUAACUACGUGCCAGCAGCCGCGGUAAUACGUAGGUCCCGAGCGUUGUCCGGAUUUAUUGGGCGUAAAGCGAGCGCAGGCGGUUUGAUAAGUCUGAAGUUAAAGGCUGUGGCUCAACCAUAGUUCGCUUUGGAAACUGUCAAACUUGAGUGCAGAAGGGGAGAGUGGAAUUCCAUGUGUAGCGGUGAAAUGCGUAGAUAUAUGGAGGAACACCGGUGGCGAAAGCGGCUCUCUGGUCUGUAACUGACGCUGAGGCUCGAAAGCGUGGGGAGCGAACAGGAUUAGAUACCCUGGUAGUCCACGCCGUAAACGAUGAGUGCUAGGUGUUGGAUCCUUUCCGGGAUUCAGUGCCGCAGCUAACGCAUUAAGCACUCCGCCUGGGGAGUACGACCGCAAGGUUGAAACUCAAAGGAAUUGACGGGGGCCCGCACAAGCGGUGGAGCAUGUGGUUUAAUUCGAAGCAACGCGAAGAACCUUACCAGGUCUUGACAUCCCGAUGCUAUUUCUAGAGAUAGAAAGUUACUUCGGUACAUCGGUGACAGGUGGUGCAUGGUUGUCGUCAGCUCGUGUCGUGAGAUGUUGGGUUAAGUCCCGCAACGAGCGCAACCCCUAUUGUUAGUUGCCAUCAUUCAGUUGGGCACUCUAGCGAGACUGCCGGUAAUAAACCGGAGGAAGGUGGGGAUGACGUCAAAUCAUCAUGCCCCUUAUGACCUGGGCUACACACGUGCUACAAUGGUUGGUACAACGAGUUGCGAGUCGGUGACGGCGAGCUAAUCUCUUAAAGCCAAUCUCAGUUCGGAUUGUAGGCUGCAACUCGCCUACAUGAAGUCGGAAUCGCUAGUAAUCGCGGAUCAGCACGCCGCGGUGAAUACGUUCCCGGGCCUUGUACACACCGCCCGUCACACCACG